RNAcentral lists this ribosomal RNA (310 nucleotides) under uncultured bacterium. RNAcentral describes it as "bacterial SSU rRNA". It matches the Rfam family "Bacterial small subunit ribosomal RNA", at positions 154 to 472 of the family's 1533-position model. The record is from RNAcentral.
AAACGUGGAAUAAUACCUGAUAGUCUCUACGGAGUAAAUGAUGCCUUCGGGUGUCGCUAAAGGAUGGGCUCGCGGCCUAUCAGUUUGUUGGUGAGGUAAAGGCUCACCAAGACUACGACGGGUAGCUGGUCUGAGAGGACGAUCAGCAACACUGGAACUGAGACACGGUCCAGACACCUACGGGUGGCAGCAGUCGAGAAUCAUUCACAAUGGAGGAAACUCUGAUGGUGCAACGCCGCGUGGAGGAUGACGGCCCUAGGGUUGUAAACUCCUGUCAUUGGGGAGUAAGACUUAUGCGUUAAGAGCGUGU